This 905-nucleotide ribosomal RNA is filed under the name uncultured bacterium. RNAcentral describes it as "bacterial SSU rRNA". It matches the Rfam family "Bacterial small subunit ribosomal RNA", at positions 33 to 943 of the family's 1533-position model. The record is from RNAcentral.
ACGCUGGCGGCGUGCUUAACACAUGCAAGUCGAACGAUGAAGCCUAGCUUGCUAGGUGGAUUAGUGGCGAACGGGUGAGUAAUACGUGAGUAACCUACCUUUAACUCUGGGAUAAGCCUGGGAAACUGGGUCUAAUACCGGAUACGACCAAUCUCCGCAUGGGGUGUUGGUGGAAAGCGUUAUGUAGUGGUUAUAGAUGGGCUCACGGCCUAUCAGCUUGUUGGUGAGGUAACGGCUCACCAAGGCGACGACGGGUAGCCGGCCUGAGAGGGUGACCGGCCACACUGGGACUGAGACACGGCCCAGACUCCUACGGGAGGCAGCAGUGGGGAAUAUUGCACAAUGGGCGCAAGCCUGAUGCAGCGACGCCGCGUGAGGGAUGACGGCCUUCGGGUUGUAAACCUCUGUUAGCAGGGAGGAAGAGAGAUUGACGGUACCUGCGGAGAAAGCGCCGGCUAACUACGUGCCAGCAGCCGCGGUAAUACGUAGGGCGCGAGCGUUGUCCGGAAUUAUUGGGCGUAAAGAGCUUGUAGGCGGUUUGUCGCGUCUGCUGUGAAAGGCCGGAGCUUAACUCCGUGUAUUGCAGUGGGUACGGGCAGACUAGAGUGCAGUAGGGGAGACUGGAAUUCCUGGUGUAGCGGUGGAAUGCGCAGAUAUCAGGAGGAACACCGAUGGCGAAGGCAGGUCUCUGGGCUGUAACUGACGCUGAGAAGCGAAAGCAUGGGGAGCGAACAGGAUUAGAUACCCUGGUAGUCCAUGCCGUAAACGUUGGGCACUAGGUGUGGGGAACAUUCCGCGUUUUCCGCGCCGUAGCUAACGCAUUAAGUGCCCCGCCUGGGGAGUACGGCCGCAAGGCUAAAACUCAAAGAAAUUGACGGGGGCCCGCACAAGCGGCGGAGCAUGCG